This 508-nucleotide ribosomal RNA is filed under the name uncultured bacterium. RNAcentral's name for it is "bacterial SSU rRNA". It matches the Rfam family "Bacterial small subunit ribosomal RNA", at positions 28 to 528 of the family's 1533-position model. The record is from RNAcentral.
GACGAACGCUGGCGGCGUGGAUUAGGCAUGCAAGUCGAACGGUAUCAUCCUUUCGGGGGUGAGAGAGUGGCGAACUGGUGAGUAACACGUAGGUUAUCUACCCUCAAGACGGGGACAACCCAGGGAAACUUGGGCUAAUACCGGAUGUGAGCAACUUUUAGUUGUUUGAAAGGUGGCGUAAGCUGUCGCUUGGGGAUGAGCCUGCGUCCUAUUAGUUAGUUGGUGAGGUAACGGCUCACCUAGGCAAUGAUAGGUAGGCGGCCUUAACGGGUGGUCGCCCACACUGGGAUUGAGAUACGGCCCAGACUCCUACGGGAGGCAGCAGUCGAGAAUAGUCUACAAUGGUCGGAAGACUGAUAGUGCGACGCCGCGUGAACGAUGAAUCCCUUCGGGUGUAAAGUUCUUUUAUAUGUGAGCAGUGCUUCUUAUAUUAACAGUAUGGGGAGAGAGAUAUUAGCAUAUGAAUAAGCAACGGCUAACUCCGUGCCAGCAGCCGCGGUAAACUCGU